This 492-nucleotide ribosomal RNA is filed under the name uncultured bacterium. RNAcentral describes it as "partial 16S ribosomal RNA". It matches the Rfam family "Bacterial small subunit ribosomal RNA", at positions 29 to 507 of the family's 1533-position model. The record is from RNAcentral.
AGUGAACGCUGGCGGUAGGCCUAACACAUGCAAGUCGAACGGCAGCACAGUAAGAGCUUGCUCUUACGGGUGGCGAGUGGCGGACGGGUGAGGAAUACAUCGGAAUCUACUUUUUCGUGGGUGAUAACGUAGGGAAACUUACGCUAAUACCUCAUACGACCUACGGGUGAAAGCAGGGGAUCUUCGGACCUUGCGCGAUUGAAUGAGCCGAUGUCGGAUUAGCUAGUUGGCGGGGUAAAGGCCCACCAAGGCGACGAUCCGUAGCUGGUCUGAGAGGAUGAUCAGCCACACUGGAACUGAGACACGGUCCAGACUCCUACGGGAGGCAGCAGUGGGGAAUAUUGGACAAUGGGCGCAAGCCUGAUCCAGCCAUACCGCGUGGGUGAAGAAGGCCUUCGGGUUGUAAAGCCCUUUUGUUGGGAAAGAAAAGCAGCAGGUUAAUACCCCGCUGUUCUGACGGUACCCAAAGAAUAAGCACCGGCUAACUUCGUG